AUCCUUUUGUGGUUCAGAAGCGAGAUGAUUGGGUGUUCACACCUGUGCGUGACAUGUGCCUCCCUCCUGGCACAGUACCCGUCUGACG
Molecule: small nucleolar RNA, 88 nt
Filed under: Tupaia belangeri chinensis (Chinese tree shrew)
Lineage: Eukaryota; Metazoa; Chordata; Mammalia; Scandentia; Tupaiidae
Description: Tupaia chinensis (Chinese tree shrew) Small nucleolar RNA U13
Rfam family: Small nucleolar RNA U13
Source: Rfam by way of RNAcentral